This is a non-coding RNA of Acanthosepion pharaonis, 110 nucleotides long. NCBI's taxonomy places the organism in Eukaryota, Metazoa, Mollusca, Cephalopoda, Sepiida, Sepiidae. The record is from the annotation of a GenBank genome assembly.
GGCUGUAUCAUGUUGAAACACUGAUUUCCAUACAAUCACUGAAGUUAAUCAACAUCAAGCCUGGUCAGUACCUAAAUGGGUGAUCACUUGAGAAUACCAGGUGCUGUAAG